CACAGCUCUGAUCUGGCAUGGCUGUGGCUGUGGCGUAGGCCGGCGGCUACAGCUCUGAUUCCACCCCUAGCCUGGGAACCUCCAUGUGCCUUGGGUACAGCCCUAAAAAGACCAAAAAAAAAAAAAAAAAGAAAAGGUAAUGCCGAGAGGACACAGUGAGGUCUGUCGCAAUGUUUUUAGAUUUUCUAUCUGUUGUUUUCUUUAACAGUUGAAUCUGCAGGUGGCAAACAAAUCCAGAGGGUAUUCAUUUGAGAAUGAAGGUUUCCUGCUUGAUUUCCCAUUUUGUCACAGUUUAAUGAUCACUAACAUCAACAUUUCUACAUUUCUAUUUCCCACUGGUUUUUAUAAAAUAGUAAGUAGGAAAUGCAAUCUCCAAUUCAGUGCUCAAGGAAUAACAACAAUGCCUAAAACCUAUAAACACUGACUGUGGGCCAGGUUUACUUCAUCCUCUCAGUAAUGAUCCAAGGACGAUAUCAUUGCUCUUUUACAGAUAAAGGAAUGGCGGCCCAGGGAGGUUCAGAAAUUUGCUCGAGGACACACAGCCAUGACGGGGCAAAAGCCUGGCAGUCUUGCUUCCCGCGUGCUCCGUCUAUGUGACUGCUAGAAAUAGUCCCCCAGCUGACUGUUGAAAGCACGAGUGUGGCACAUGACAGGGGGUUAGCGGUGUCAGUAUGCGUGCAUAUAAAGGCAGACUUUUCAAAAUCAAGCACAUCCGCACCAGUGUGGCACAAAAUGGUUUAUGGUUACAGCAGAGUAUUCAAGUUGGGAUUUUCACCUCAAGAUAGAGAUACCCGAGUGAUGAUACGUGAGGCUGAGACAGUCCGAGAUCUGCCCCAGGUUUCCGGACCUAGGGAGGGACCUAACUGCUCCAGCUCCCAGCUUGCUCCAGGCUGCCAUGAGGAACCAUCAGCCCUCAGAGCCCAGACACGACAGUGCCAUCCUACCACCAGCUCCACUCAAGCUCCUGCCCUGGAUAAUCUCCUCUGGCUUUCUGUCUGAUGGCUGGGGUCCCACUACCCUUGGAAUAACCUUCAGAUAACAACGUUUCCCCAUGUCCUGACCAGAUUAGUCUGGGAACCUCAGUGAAAUGACUCUGAGAUCAGGACAAUAAUGGGCUUGGCUAUGGGCGGCUGUCCCAGCAGAGGCUGGGACAGUGAGGCAGGGGUUGACAGGCUCCAAGUGAGAUAUGGAAAGAAACAAACAUGCAUAAAGAUUGAUUUCUCAAUAAUUUCUCCAUAGGAGUUCUCCCUUCUGAGGCUGGACUGGGAGUUUGGGAUUAGCAGAUAUAAACUAUCACAUAUAGGAUGGAUAACAACAAGCUCCUACUCGGAGUUCCUGUCAUGGCACAGUGGUUAAUGAAUCCGACUAGGAACCAUGAGGUUGCGGGUUCGAUCCCUGGCCUCACUCAGUGGGUUAAGGAUCCGGUGUUGCCAUGAGCUGUGGUGUAGGUUGCAGACGUGGCUCAGCUCCCGCGUUGCUCUGGCUCUGGUGUAGGCCGGCAGCUACAGCUCCGAUUGGACCCUUAGCCUGGGAACCUCCAUAUGCCACGAGAGCGGCCCAAGAAAUGGCAAAAAGACAUAAAAAAACAAAACAAAACAAAAAAAACCAAGGUCCUACUCGAUAGCACAGGGAACCACAUUCAAUGUCCUGUGAUAAACCAUAAUGGAAAGGAAUACAAGAACUAUAUUGUAAAUUUCUUAUAUAUAUAAUUUAUGUAUAAAUUUCUUAUAUAUGUAAGAAUGUAUAAAUUAUAUAUAAUUAUAUAAAUUUCCUAUAUAUAUAAAUUAAAAAAUAUAUAUUUUUACACAUAUUGGUCCUAGGCCAACUAAACAAAGCCUGUUCCUUUAGCAAGUCCUCCAAUGGAUGGUCCCCAGUGGAAGGCCUUGCUGAUACCCGCUGUCGCUCUAAUGAGGGGCUUAGGGCUGGCCACCGUGGUGUCAGAUACAUACACACACACACACAUAUAUACAUAUAUAUACACACAUAUGCAUAUAUAUAU
This 1999-nucleotide long non-coding RNA is filed under the name Sus scrofa (pig). RNAcentral's name for it is "lncRNA (ENSSSCG00030020808.1)". Lineage: Eukaryota; Metazoa; Chordata; Mammalia; Artiodactyla; Suidae. The record is from RNAcentral.